GCAAAACUUUACCAAACGUUCUUAAAAUUAUGUUGAAACUGGCGUUUUUCAUAAUUUCCAUUCAACUCCUGGCAAUUUCAAUAUCAGAAGCCUCUUCAAAAUCUUCAGAGGAAGACAAAUUAUCAAAAAUUCCUGUAAAGCCCUUGCCGACCAAGAAGGUAUUAGUUCCUCCAUUUCAGGAUGAAGAUAGUUCCGCUAAAAAUUCCCCGUCGUUGAUUUGGAAAGCCAAUCGUAAAACUAUCAAGAAAAAGAAUAAAGCACAAAGAACGAACAAUAAAACCUAGAAGACAAAAAAGCCUCAGCCAAAUGUAUAAGAAAUACAGUUUAAAUGUGGUUAUUAAAAAAAUUUGCAAAAAACUAUUGCCAGAUGAUUUGUUGAUAUGUGUUUAACUAUUUAUUUUCUACACUUAAAUCAAUAAAAGAAUCCUCUAAGCAAUU
Long non-coding RNA from Neocloeon triangulifer, 438 nucleotides. RefSeq lists it as uncharacterized. The transcript has 3 exons. NCBI's taxonomy places the organism in Eukaryota, Metazoa, Arthropoda, Insecta, Ephemeroptera, Baetidae. The record is from RefSeq and is a predicted model, not a curated record.